RNAcentral lists this ribosomal RNA (775 nucleotides) under uncultured Neocallimastigales. RNAcentral describes it as "partial large subunit ribosomal RNA". It matches the Rfam family "Eukaryotic large subunit ribosomal RNA", at positions 23 to 634 of the family's 3401-position model. The record is from RNAcentral. Lineage: Eukaryota; Fungi; Neocallimastigomycota; Neocallimastigomycetes; Neocallimastigales.
AGAGAGAGACAUGCGCGCAUAUCAAUAAGCGGAGGAAAAGAAACUAACAAGGAUUCCCCUAGUAACGGCGAGUGAAGCGGGAAGAGCUCAAAUUUGAAAUCUUAAAGGGUUUCCCUUUACGAAUUGUAGUUUAAAGAAGUGUUUUCUGUUGAGGUUUUGGUAAAAGUUCUUUGGAAUAGGACAUCAUAGAGGGUGAGAAUCCCGUAUUUGACCUUUGCUUUCAACUUUGUGAUACACUUUCAAAGAGUCGGAUUGUUUGGGAAUGCAGUCCAAAAUGGGUGGUAAAUUUCAUCUAAAGCUAAAUAUUGGCGAGAGACCGAUAGCGAACAAGUACCGUGAGGGAAAGAUGAAAAGAACUUUGAAAAGAGAGUUAAACAGUACGUGAAAUUGUCAAAAGGGAAGCGUUUGACACCAGUGUUGUUUUUCUGAAAAUCAAUUAAAGAACUGUUUAUGCUAAGUUGUUUAGACUUUAUCAGCUAUCUGUUUAGUUUUGAGCUUUUCUUUAAUGCACUUUUCAGUUAACAGAGUCAACAUCAAUUUCUUUUGCUGUAAAAAAGCUUGAGGAAGGUGGCUUGAGAUUCGUCUUAAGUGCUUAUAGCCUCUUGCCUAUGCAGUCGGAGAGACUGAGGUCUGCAGCGUAGAUCCUUCGGGGCUAAAUGCAUUUGUGCUAAGUUAUAGCAUUUUAUAGACAACUUGUUGACUAUGAUUUGUCUUGUAGCUUACUCGCUUAUGUUAUUUUACCUACGCUUAGGAUGUUGACGCAUGAGAUAUACGC